UAAACCUGUAAACCACAAGUUGAAAAAUUAUUUUAAAUGCGACAAAGUAAAACAUAACAAGAAUAUUAAAUUGUCAACAAAACUUAAAACAUCUGCUGAAAAUCUUAUGUCUGUGUUUAGGAUAAUAUGGAAUACUAAGUAAGUUAUUAGCCUAUAGCAAAGAAGUUCAAUUAACUAAAAUAUAUCACUAUAUAAUCAUUAAACCUGAAUGAAAAACACCAUUUACUUAAUUACUAAAUACCUUUUAUUAUUAUUACUAUAAAUAUUUUAAUAGAAAAUAAUAAUUUAAAAAUAUUGAAACUCAGUAGGUUGAUCAAGAAUACUUUGAAUAGAAAUGGGGUCAAAGAAGAGAGUUUUGUAAACAAAAAAAUUGCUUAUGCAAAUUCAACAAUUAGAAAUGUUUACAAAGACAUCUGGAAACUUAAGUAUGUUAACCUAAAAUUGUAUGUGUACUAUAACGGAUGUUAUGAGUGUGUUUGUAUGAAUACUGAUUACCUACAUAUUAUGCAUAAAUAAUAGUGUGUACUCAAUCAACUUACAAAUGUAAUACCAAUGGAAUUGAAAAAUGUA
Cinara cedri is the source of this 570-nucleotide non-coding RNA. NCBI's taxonomy places the organism in Eukaryota, Metazoa, Arthropoda, Insecta, Hemiptera, Aphididae. The record is from the annotation of a GenBank genome assembly.